Oncorhynchus mykiss (rainbow trout) is the source of this 1715-nucleotide long non-coding RNA. RefSeq lists it as uncharacterized. Lineage: Eukaryota; Metazoa; Chordata; Actinopteri; Salmoniformes; Salmonidae. The record is from RefSeq and is a predicted model, not a curated record.
CAGACACACACACACAACCUUCUUGGAACCAGAGGAACAUGGUGGGGCGAUAUAUAAGAGCAGUGCAACUCCGAAAAGGACAUAGACUCUACAGCACUCGAUACACUGAGGACCAUCUCUGGAAACAUAGACCAGGGCAGACCAUCAACAGCUCUUCAAGCCUCCUGCAGUAUUUUACUCUUAGGACACCUCACCUGCUCUCCAAUAUAAUGUAUCUUCUGGGACUCUGUACACUGGCCCUGCUGGCCUCCACCAUCGCACAGAAUGUUUCAACAAUAGCUUCUUUCACUCCUACAAUCGCUGGUUCUGCUCCUACAAUCACUGGUUCUGCUCUUACAAGCGCUGGUCCUGUUGCUCCUACAAGCGCUGGUCCUGUUGCUCCUACAACCGCUGUGCCAGCUCUUACAACCUCUGUUCCUGCUCCUGCAACAGCAGCAACUGUCCAAUCUUCCAAACCAAGUGGCAGCCCAGCAACCGGAGCGUCUCUGUUGUGUUCUGUGAUGAUUCUUCUGCUCUACAGCCUGUAGUACUAAGUGGUGGACCCCCUCUGGCCUGGAGUUUGUAUUGUUCAGGACUAUAUAGACUGAGUGGCUAAGAAUGAUCCCAGAGCCAAUGAACAAAGCAAACAUGUAUCUGGAAGAAUGGAUUUUCCUCUACUAGAACACCAGUCAUUGAUGUUUCAUGUUAGAGGUUAAUCUUUGUAUAUGGACACGUUAUGAGAGAAGCAAAUUCUUCUUAAAUUGAAAUUUGGGUGGGUGGAUUGGAGGGAAGAAGGGGUGGAGGGAGGGGUUGGGGUUGUACUGUUUUUCUGUUCUCAUAUCUGAAAAUCUAUAAAGAAAGUACAACAAAAAGCAUUUGUUGUAAACCGUCACCAAUGGGUAAAAACCAUUGGGCUAAGAGAUAUUGGUUGUGUUUUGAACACUGACAGUUUUACGAACUUGAUUCCACUGCCCUUUUAGACUUAUUCUUGUCCGUUUGUUUUAUUAAGUUGAAAUGUACUGAUUAGAGGGAAUGAGUUCAUGUUGUAGACAAUAUACUUGAUUGUAAUCCAAUUUCUAUGUUAAUAAAUGCAUGUAUGGAAGUACAAUCAAAAACAGUAUAAUAAAAUAAUAGACCGUGUGACUACUUACAUAUUAAGCAUUAUGAGCAUUAGCAAUAGAACAAAGUUGUAUUUUCUUGUGUUACUGUGUAAGACGGAGACAUAACGCAAUGCAGAUGUAGGAUCUGAAUUUGAUCACCCUGUUGCAGGAGAACUUUCCUGCACUGCAGGACAUUUAAAAAAAAAAUUGUAGUGUAUUUUAGUUAAAAAGGGUCAGAAUGUGUCAUUUCCACUUUUAAAUUUCAGAUGUGGUUUUCCCUUACAAAAAAAAUUACAUAAUAAUUAACAUUUCCUGUUGCUGCAGGAUUAUUUUCCUGCUGUAGCAAACUGGUUCAAAUUACGAUCCUACAUCUGUGUAUGUGAAGGCUGAGCUAGUGUGAAAUUGUACACAAAACUCAAUCCUUUAGUCUUCAUAUCGCCAGAUAGCCAGCAACGCUUUGUGGAUGAUCUCCUCUGAAUUUGUUCUGUUGAAAAACAGUGGCCAUUUUUCCCAAAAUUCAACAGAUUUUGAAAGACUGUUAGUUAUACUGCUUGGUUGAGGUGGAUAGUUUCAUUGACAUGUAUUCCUACUGUAUUCGUUACAGGAAAUAAAUGCAAGGCUUUUUUUCAUCCCUCC